GACGAACGCUGGCGGCGUGCCUAAUACAUGCAAGUCGAACGCUUCUUUCCUCCCGAGUGCUUGCACUCAAUUGGAAAGAGGAGUGGCGGACGGGUGAGUAACACGUCGGUAACCUACCCAUCAGUGGGGGAUAACACUUGGAAACAGGUGCUAAUACCGCAUAACAGUUUAUGCCGCAUGGCAUAAGAGUGAAAGGCGCUUUCGGGUGUCGCUGAUGGAUGGACCCGCGGUGCAUUAGCUAGUUGGUGAGGUAACGGCUCACCAAGGCGACGAUGCAUAGCCGACCUGAGAGGGUGAUCAGCCACACUGGAACUGAGACACGGCCCAGACUCCUACGGGAGGCAGCAGUAGGGAAUCUUCGGCAAUGGACGAAAGUCUGACCGAGCAACGCCGCGUGAGUGAAGAAGGUCUUCGGAUCGUAAAACUCUGUUGUUAGGGAAGAACAAGGACGUUAGUAACUGAACGUGUCCUGACGGUAUCUAACCAGAAAGCCACGGCUAACUACGUG
Molecule: ribosomal RNA, 508 nt
Filed under: uncultured bacterium
Lineage: Bacteria
Description: partial 16S ribosomal RNA
Rfam family: Bacterial small subunit ribosomal RNA
Source: RNAcentral